UAUGUGAUCGUCUCUCGCAUAUCAAUAAGCGGGGAAAAGAAACUAACAAGGAUUCCCCUAGUAACGGCGAGUGAAGCGGGAAGAGCUCAAAUUUGAAAUCUUAAAGGGUUUCCCUUUACGAAUUGUAGUUUAAAGAAGUGUUUUCUGUUGAGGUUUUGGUAAAAGUUCUUUGGAAUAGGACAUCAUAGAGGGUGAGAAUCCCGUAUUUGACCUUUACUUUCAACUUUGUGAUACACUUUCAAAGAGUCGGAUUGUUUGGGAAUGCAGUCCAAAAUGGGUGGUAAAUUUCAUCUAAAGCUAAAUAUUGGCGAGAGACCGAUAGCGAACAAGUACCGUGAGGGAAAGAUGAAAAGAACUUUGAAAAGAGAGUUAAACAGUACGUGAAAUUGUCAAAAGGGAAGCGUUUGACACCAGUGUUGUUUUUCUGAAAAUCAAUUAAAGAACUGUUUAUGCUAAGCUGUUUAGACUUUAUCAGCUAUCUGUUUAGUUUUGAGCUUUUCUUUAAUGCACUUUUCAGUUAACAAGUCAACAUCAAUUUCUUUUGCUGUAAAGAAGCUUGAGGAAGGUGGCUUGAGAUUCGUCUUAAGUGUUUAUAGCCUCUUGCCUAUGCAGUCGGAGAGAUUGAGGUCUGCAGCGUAGAUCCUUCGGGGCUAAAUGCAUUUGUGCUAAGUUAUAGCAUUUUAUAGACAACUUGUUGACUAUGAUUUGUCUUGUAGCUUACUCGCUUAUGUUAUUUUACCUACGCUUAGGAUGUUGAAGAUAUGCGCGACACG
This 773-nucleotide ribosomal RNA is filed under the name uncultured Neocallimastigales. RNAcentral's name for it is "partial large subunit ribosomal RNA". It matches the Rfam family "Eukaryotic large subunit ribosomal RNA", at positions 23 to 644 of the family's 3401-position model. The record is from RNAcentral. Lineage: Eukaryota; Fungi; Neocallimastigomycota; Neocallimastigomycetes; Neocallimastigales.